This 341-nucleotide ribosomal RNA is filed under the name uncultured Faecalibacterium sp. RNAcentral's name for it is "bacterial SSU rRNA". It matches the Rfam family "Bacterial small subunit ribosomal RNA", at positions 355 to 714 of the family's 1533-position model. The record is from RNAcentral. Lineage: Bacteria; Bacillati; Bacillota; Clostridia; Eubacteriales; Oscillospiraceae.
UGGGGAAUAUUGCACAAUGGGGGAAACCCUGAUGCAGCGACGCCGCGUGGAGGAAGAAGGUCUUCGGAUUGUAAACUCCUGUUGUUGAGGAAGAUAAUGACGGUACUCAACAAGGAAGUGACGGCUAACUACGUGCCAGCAGCCGCGGUAAAACGUAGGUCACAAGCGUUGUCCGGAAUUACUGGGUGUAAAGGGAGCGCAGGCGGGAAGACAAGUUGGAAGUGAAAUCCAUGGGCUCAACCCAUGAACUGCUUUCAAAACUGUUUUUCUUGAGUAGUGCAGAGGUAGGCGGAAUUCCCGGUGUAGCGGUGGAAUGCGUAGAUAUCGGGAGAACACCAGUG